This 439-nucleotide ribosomal RNA is filed under the name uncultured bacterium. Its description in RNAcentral is "bacterial SSU rRNA". It matches the Rfam family "Bacterial small subunit ribosomal RNA", at positions 338 to 795 of the family's 1533-position model. The record is from RNAcentral.
CCUACGGGGGGCAGCAGUGGGGAAUAUUGCACAAUGGGGGAAACCCUGAUGCAGCAACGCCGCGUGAGCGAUGAAGGCCUUCGGGUCGUAAAGCUCUGUCCUAAGGGAAGAAUACUGACGGUACCUUAGGAGGAAGCCCCGGCUACCAAGUGCCAACCGGCGGGGUAAUACGGAGGGGGCUAGGCUUAACCGGAAUUACUGGGCGUAAAGGGUGCGUAGGCGGCCCUUCAAGUCAGAGGUGAAAGGCUACGGCUCAACCGUAGUAAGCCUUUGAAACUGUAGGGCUUGAGUGCAGGAGAGGAGAGUGGAAUUCCCAGUGUAGCGGUGAAAUGCGUAGAUAUUGGGAGGAACACCAGUUGCGAAGGCGGCUCUCUGGACUGUAACUGACGCUAAGGCACGAAAGCGUGGGGAGCAAACAGGAUUAGAUACCCCUGUAGUC